Molecule: ribosomal RNA, 253 nt
Filed under: uncultured bacterium
Lineage: Bacteria
Description: partial 16S ribosomal RNA
Rfam family: Bacterial small subunit ribosomal RNA
Source: RNAcentral
UACGGAGGGGGCAAGCGUUGUCCGGAAUUAUUGGGCGUAAAGAGCUCGUAGGCGGUUUGUCGCGUCUGCUGUGAAAGUUCGGGGCUCAACCCCGGAACUGCAGUGGGUACGGGCAGACUAGAGUGCGGUAGAGGAGGCUGGAAUUCCUGGUGUAGCGGUGGAAUGCGCAGAUAUCAGGAGGAACACCAGUGGCGAAGGCGGGUCUCUGGGCCGCAACUGACGCUGAGGAGCGAAAGCGUGGGGAGCGAACAGG